UCCCAGACCUCCAGGGUUCAGAGGAAAGAGAGAUCCUGAGAUCUCCCUGCACAGUAGGGUUUCCAAAUUCCAAACCUGAUGUGAUCUCACAGAUGGAACGAGGGGAACAGCCGUGGGUCCCAGACCUCCAGGGCUCUGAGAAAGAACUGCUUCCAAGAGCUGCCUUCACAGGUGAUGGGAUGGUGAGUCAGAAUGAGGAGGAGAAACCCCAGCAGGAAGAUGCUGAGCAAGGAG
Long non-coding RNA from Mauremys reevesii (Reeves's turtle), 234 nucleotides. RefSeq lists it as uncharacterized. The record is from RefSeq and is a predicted model, not a curated record. The transcript is spliced from 3 exons. Lineage: Eukaryota; Metazoa; Chordata; Testudines; Geoemydidae.